GUGUCAGCCGCCGCGGUAAAACCAGCACCUCAAGUGGUCAGGAUGAUUAUUGGGCCUAAAGCAUCCGUAGCCUGCUCUGUAAGUUUUCGGUUAAAUCUGUAUGCUCAACAUACAGGCCGCCGGGAAUACUGCAGAGCUAGGGAGUGGGAGAGGUAGACGGUACUCGGGAGGAAGUGGUAAAAUGCUUUGAUCUCUCGAUGACCACCUGUGGCGAAGGCGGUCUACCAGAACACGUCCGACGGUGAGGGAUGAAAGCUGGGGGAGCAAACCGGAUUAGAUACCCGGGUAGUCCCAGCUGUAAACUAUGCAAACUCAGUGAUGCAUUGGCUUGUGGCCAAUGCAGUGUUGCAGGGAAGCCGUUAAGUUUGCCGCCUGGGAAGUACGUACGCAAGUAUGAAACUUAAAGGAAUUGGCGGGGGAGCACCACAAGGGGUGAAGCCUGCGGUUCAAUUGGAGUCAACGCCAGAAAUCUUACCCGGAGAGACAGCAGAAUGAAGGUCAAGCUGAAGACUUUACCAGACAAGCUGAGAGGUGGUGCAUGGCCGUCGCCAGCUCGUGCCGUGAGAUGUCCUGUUAAGUCAGGUAACGAGCGAGAUCCCUGCCUCUAGUUGCCACCAUUACUCUCAGGAGUAGUGGGGCGAAUUAGCGGGACCGCCGCAGUUAAUGCGGAGGAAGGAAGGGGCCACGGCAGGUCAGUAUGCCCCGAAACUCUGGGGCCACACGCGGGCUGCAAUGGUAAUGACAAUAGGUUCCGAACCCGAAAGGAAGAGGCAAUCCAUAAACAUUACCACAGUUAUGACUGAGGGCUGCAACUCGCCCUCACGAAUAUGGAAUCCCUAGUAACUGCGUGUCAUUAUCGCGCGGUGAAUACGUCCCUGCUCCUUGCACACACUGCCCGUC
This 900-nucleotide ribosomal RNA is filed under the name uncultured archaeon. RNAcentral's name for it is "bacterial SSU rRNA". It matches the Rfam family "Archaeal small subunit ribosomal RNA", at positions 455 to 1354 of the family's 1478-position model. The record is from RNAcentral.